GAUGAACGCUGGCGGCGUGCCUAAUACAUGCAAGUCGAGCGAACAGACGAGGAGCUUGCUCCUCUAACGUUAGCGGCGGACGGGUGAGUAACACGUGGAUAACCUACCUAUAAGACUGGGAUAACUUCGGGAAACCGGAGCUAAUACCGGAUAAUAUAUUGAACCGCAUGGUUCAAUAGUGAAAGACGGUUUUGCUGUCACUUAUAGAUGGAUCCGCGCCGCAUUAGCUAGUUGGUAAGGUAACAGCUUACCAAGGCAACGAUGCGUAGCCGACCUGAGAGGGUGAUCGGCCACACUGGAACUGAGACACGGUCCAGACUCCUACGGGAGGCAGCAGUAGGGAAUCUUCCGCAAUGGGCGAAAGCCUGACGGAGCAACGCCGCGUGAGUGAUGAAGGUCUUCGGAUCGUAAAACUCUGUUAUUAGGGAAGAACAAAUGUGUAAGUAACUAUGCACGUAUUGACGGUACCUAAUCAGAAAGCCACGGCUAACUACGUG
Molecule: ribosomal RNA, 497 nt
Filed under: uncultured bacterium
Lineage: Bacteria
Description: partial 16S ribosomal RNA
Rfam family: Bacterial small subunit ribosomal RNA
Source: RNAcentral